This 254-nucleotide ribosomal RNA is filed under the name uncultured bacterium. Its description in RNAcentral is "partial 16S ribosomal RNA". It matches the Rfam family "Bacterial small subunit ribosomal RNA", at positions 524 to 776 of the family's 1533-position model. The record is from RNAcentral.
UACGUAGGGGGCGAGCGUUGUCCGAAGUUACUGGGCGUAAAGCGCGCGUAGGCGGGCCCUUAAGUGGGGGGUGAAAGGUCCAGGGCUCAACCCGGACACUGCCUCCCAUACUGGGGGCCUUGAGUGCGGGAGAGGCGAGUGGAAUGGUCGGUGUAGCGGUGAAAUGCGUAGAUAUCGAUCGGAACACCCAUGGCGAAGGCAGCUCGCUGGCCCGCAACUGACGCUGAGGUGCGAAAGCGUGGGGAGCAAACAGG